This 76-nucleotide transfer RNA is filed under the name Candidatus Falkowiibacteriota bacterium. RNAcentral's name for it is "tRNA-Asn". It matches the Rfam family "tRNA". Rfam says of the family: Transfer RNA (tRNA) molecules are approximately 80 nucleotides in length. The record is from RNAcentral. Lineage: Bacteria; Candidatus Falkowiibacteriota.
UUCGGGGUAGUAUAAUUGGUAAAACACCGCCCUGUUAAGGCGUGAGAUGUGGGUUCGAGCCCCACCCCCGGAGCCA